Molecule: ribosomal RNA, 394 nt
Filed under: uncultured bacterium
Lineage: Bacteria
Description: bacterial SSU rRNA
Rfam family: Bacterial small subunit ribosomal RNA
Source: RNAcentral
AUUGAACGCUGGCGGCAUGCCUUACACAUGCAAGUCGAACGGCAGCACGGACUUCGGUCUGGUGGCGAGUGGCGAACGGGUGAGUAAUGCAUCGGAACGUGCCAUUGAGUGGGGGAUAACGUAGCGAAAGUUGCGCUAAUACCGCAUAUUCUGUGAGCAGGAAAGCAGGGGACCGCAAGGCCUUGCGCUCUUUGAGCGGCCGAUGUCAGAUUAGCUAGUUGGUGAGGUAAAGGCUUACCAAGGCGACGAUCUGUAGCGGGUCUGAGAGGAUGAUCCGCCACACUGGAACUGAGACACGGUCCAGACUCCUACGGGAGGCAGCAGUGGGGAAUUUUGGACAAUGGGGGCAACCCUGAUCCAGCCAUGCCGCGUGAGUGAAGAAGGCCUCGGUUGU